Molecule: non-coding RNA, 3034 nt
Organism: Phalacrocorax carbo (great cormorant)
Lineage: Eukaryota; Metazoa; Chordata; Aves; Suliformes; Phalacrocoracidae
Source: RefSeq, a predicted model, not a curated record
GUGAGGUGGGGUAGGUGCUUCGGGGGAGGCGGCGCCCGGGGGCGGGGAGGCCGCGGGGCUCUGCGUCCCCUCAGCGCCCCCCCGCCCCGCAAGGCGGCCCGGGCCUGUCAGCCGGGCCCGGCGCGGGAGCGGCAGGGCCGGCCUGGGGAAGCCCCGGGAGGUCCCUGGGGAGGCGGUGUCAGCCGAGCUGCCUUGCCCGGCCCUGGUGUCAGCAGGUCGUUGUGACAGCUGGGCUGCCUCCGGCUGUCCCCGGGGAAGCCACCUGUGGAGGCUUCGCUUAAAAUGGGCCGGGGACAGGGCGGGCUGGGUGGCACCAGCGGGCUGUGGGCUGGGCGCCUGGGUGGCGCAAGGCAGGGGCGAUCCUCACAAAGUAGGGGUGACCCACCCGUCCUCCAGGAGAGAGCAAAAAUGCCCUAAACAGACAGCACAGCUGGGCGUCCUAAGGACUUUCUAUUGCCAAAACAACAGAUUCUGCAUAAAGAUCUACAGUCACUUUGGAGACAUUUUUAAAUUACCUAUCCCAGUGCUUUUGCACUAUAUGUGCACAUCGUUCACCUGAUUUUACCGAUUGACAGACGGAGGCAUCCAGAUCUGGGGCAGUUUUGUGUUGGUCGAGAGGAAGCCAGCAGCAGGGCUGUAGGCAAGAGCCAUUCGUGGCCAUUCCCCGGUCUGAGUUUCAAGUACGAAAACACCUUCGCCUUCAGGUUUGCCGUGCUAAAAUUAUUUGUAAAACGCAUCAAACGCUGCACUGCUGGUGCUACUUUCUUCAGAUCUUGGUUCCCUGAAGAUGUGUCAUCCAAAUAUAGUCCCGAGCCAAAACUACGGGACUCAGAUCUUCACAAAUGUGAUUAACUUCGCUAGUUUUGGGUCAUUAAGUGCCGUGUCUGAUUCAUUUCUAAGCUGAAUAAUUUUGACAGCUGCCAAUUUGGUACACAUACCAUAGGCUGAGCUGGGGAGCCGCAAAGCUGGAAAGAGGACUGCAGCCCGAGCAGAGGCUCUACCUGGCAGGGCAACACCUCCGCACCCCUGCAGCUCCGGCACGAAGGGGAACCUAAAUACAUAUUAAUUGGGGAACUGGUUGGUCAAAGUAAGAGCAUCCCAAGCAUCUGAGAGCCACGUUCAGUUUUAUCCUGGAUAAACCGUUGCCUACAAAUCAGCGAACACGUCCACGAUCUUUUUAAAGCCAAGAUGAACUUUGAACUGCUCAGUCUUGGCGUCAGGUUAUUAACAAGACUGUUCAUUGUCAUCACCAUUUAUUUAUUAUUUAUAUUUCUGUUCAUUUUGAAGUUUAUUUGGGUGUGACAAGAAGAUUACGGGUUCAGGGUUUUGUCCAGAAUUCUGCCACACAAGUACAAAGUCCAGUAAAUAUAUUCUUAUUUUUAUUACUUCGUCUUACUGUUCUCGUGAUGGGAACAGAAUGAUUUAGUUCUGAAAUAUGGUACUUCAAUGGACUGAGAGGCAAAUUGUCUUCAAUGACUGGCCAAAACCGGGAAGAAGGCAGGAAUGCCACCUCUUCUGAACUAAUUAUGAACCACACAGCUCUUGCUAUUAUCUGUUUACAUGUUAUUGGCCUUGUGAUGUGCUGGUGAGAGAUUUCCUUUCACUGUCUGGUCCAAACGUACGUUAAGUCCAAUUUCAUUAAAAAGGCUGCUCGCUUUCCUUGUUGAAAGGGUCAUUGUGUUAGUUAUUACAGUGUUUUCUUUGUGCUCGCUUUCCCCAAAUUCCAGUAACUAUUUUGUAGAAAAGUUUGAAAGUGAACUUUUGAUGCCUGUGAAAGCUGCUUCAUUGACUUUAUUGACUCCAGAGCCUGAAGUUCUUUAUCCACAGAGAUCUUUAAAAGGACACUAAAAACUUUCAGCCAAAGCUUAUAGAAUUCGGUACUUAUGGUUAAGUAUUAUAGACCCAAUGCUGUUCCCAUGGAGACCUAAAGGAAUUUUUCCAUUGAAUUAAGUGGUAGCAAAGCAUACCCUUUAUUAAGUGGGAAAAGAAGUAGACUGGGGAGCUCAAUUUGUUGUUCCCAGUUUUGUUUGUGUGCUUGCUCUUCUGUAUAAAGAAAUAAAGCGGGCGAAAUUACAGGCAUUUUCAUCGCGAUUCAUCUGCUUCAAGCUUGCUGCGUUUGUAGAUGAGGGGGUGCCUGUGGUUCCAGCGUGAUAACCCACGAGGCAAAGGCAGAGCUCUCCUUUCACUCGCUGCUGGUGCCUUUCCCUGGGAGACCGGAAUGUGAGGAGAGUGUUUCAGCCUCCCACGUCUCCUGCUUGGGAGCGGUCGGUGGUGGUACAGCUGGGCACUGUUAGCAGGCAGCGUUAGCGCCUCCCUGUCACGGGUUGUGUGCCAGCUAUUCCUGAGGGCACUCUUUAAUGUAAAUUUGUUAAAACACUAACCUGUUCGCAGUGAAAUUCCAAUGAUUUACUAAUACACAAAGAAAUCCCAAGCAUACUCACAUUUAGACAGUGUUUUUUCAUCCUGGAAGUUUGGGAUAUUGCUCAAGAGGUCAUCAGAAGCCCCUGGUGAGCCCCGCUCCAGCCAUGGCUUCGAGUGGGGGCUCUGCCUGGGCUCUGCGAUGGCAUAUGACUGGAUCCUGCAGCUCUUGUGUAUGGAGAUCCUCAGUAAUUUAUAGAAAAAGAGAAAAUCGAGGCCUCAAAUUGUACAAUAUGGUGCUGAAAAUGGUUUUUGAUUGAAGCUGUGUCAUGAAAUCCUUGGCUACUGAAGACAACAGAUUUAUGCUUGAUGUAAAUGGAGUGAGGAUUUUGUCUAUAAUGAAGUCCUUUCAUUUUGGCUCACUGAGAUUUCUCUUGUUCUUUCUUAGCGCCUUAUGACACAUUCACUCCAUCCUUGCCUCAAACAAAGGGAAAUUAUACUAUCAUGGUCUCCCUUUAAAUAUUUUCUAUUUGAGGACCUACUGAAAAGACUCCAGAGGCAAAUUCUUGGUUUAGAAGUUGCUAUUUAUGUCUAGACACAUCUGAAUGUCGUUAUGCUUUGAAUGUUCUGGAUUGCUCGCCGUUUUCUUUGUAAAGAUGUAUGAGCCGAGAGAGAG